CGGCGAGUAGCGCAGCUUGGCAGCGCAACCGGUUUGGGACCGCGGGUCGGAGUAACCUCUCUCGCCGA
This 68-nucleotide transfer RNA is filed under the name Salmonella enterica subsp. enterica. Its description in RNAcentral is "tRNA-Pro". The record is from RNAcentral. Lineage: Bacteria; Pseudomonadati; Pseudomonadota; Gammaproteobacteria; Enterobacterales; Enterobacteriaceae.